Non-coding RNA from Oryza glumipatula, 206 nucleotides. The record is from Rfam. NCBI's taxonomy places the organism in Eukaryota, Viridiplantae, Streptophyta, Magnoliopsida, Poales, Poaceae.
AAAAAGGUAAACUCUGAGUUUCCAUGUCAACGUUUGACUAUCCGUUUUAUAUGAAAUUUUUUUAUAAUUAAUAUUUUUAUUAUUGUUAGAUGAUAAAAUAUGAUUAAUAAUUUAUGCGUGACUUAUAUUUUUAAUUUUUUUCAUAAUUUUUUUAAAGAAAACGGACGGUCAAACGUUGGACACGGAAAUCAAGGUUUGUCUUUCUU